RNAcentral lists this non-coding RNA (30 nucleotides) under Homo sapiens (human). The record is from RNAcentral. Lineage: Eukaryota; Metazoa; Chordata; Mammalia; Primates; Hominidae.
UGAUGAGUGUGCCCACCGGAUGUGAAGGGU